RNAcentral lists this non-coding RNA (31 nucleotides) under Mus musculus (house mouse). Lineage: Eukaryota; Metazoa; Chordata; Mammalia; Rodentia; Muridae. The record is from RNAcentral.
UAAUUGUCUUUUUCACAAAUGUUGUUGGUGU